This 710-nucleotide unclassified non-coding RNA is filed under the name Octopus sinensis (East Asian common octopus). RNAcentral's name for it is "serine/threonine-protein phosphatase 6 regulatory ankyrin repeat subunit B-like, transcript variant X1". The record is from RNAcentral. Lineage: Eukaryota; Metazoa; Mollusca; Cephalopoda; Octopoda; Octopodidae.
GAGAAAAGAAAGAGAAGGAUAGGAAUGGAAGAGGGAGAUAGAGAGAGAAAGAAGGAGAGAAAGAGGAAAGAAAACGAGAAAGAGAGUGAGAGACAAAGAGAGAAAAGAGAGAGAGAGAGAGAAAAUGGAAUUUCUCUAUUUCACAUGUCCUCACUUUCUUCAUUACAGAUUAAUAAACCUCUUGAUGGAUUGGGACGAACUCCUUUAAUCGUUGCCUGUGACGUGGGCGCCGAUAGAAGAAUCAUCGAAAUAUUGAUAAAAGCUGGUGCGAAGUUAGAAGCGAAAGACAGAUGGGGUUGGACAGCUUUGCAUUGGGCUGUGAAGAGGAAUCACCUUCAUGCUGUGGAGAUCUUACUAUCUCGGGGAAGUGAGGUGAAUCCUCGAGAUAAAGCUGGUCGCACACCGCUGCACUUGGCCUGUUAUUGGGGAUACUUGCACACUGUCGAAAUUUUGUUGGGUCACAAUGGCAUCGAUGUCAAUGUGGUUGCCAACAAUGGAUACACACCACUGCAUGAGGGAGUUCGGGGGUAAUCCUUCCAGUUGCAAGUAUGAAGUGGUGUGUGCGAUGCUGAAGCAGGAUUCGGUGAAUUUAGAAAUUGUGAACAAAGAAUAUAGGACACCAUUGCUUGAAGCUGUUUCGGACGGUCACCUCGGAAUAAUGCAGCGGCUGAUAGCCAGGGGCGCGAAUGUAAAUGUUGUCGAACAUGGAG